UCUGGUGCCAGCAGCCGCGGUAAUUCCAGCUCCAAUAGCGUAUAUUAAAGUUGUUGCAGUUAAAAAGCUCGUAGUUGGAUUUCUGGUUUGAUGCGCCUGGCCCGCCGCGGUUACGCGUGUGAGAGCCGGUUGCGCGUCGACCAUCCUUCUGGAGAGCGCGGCUAUUCUUCACUGAACUGGUCGCGCGAUCUGGAUCGUUUACUUUGAAAAAAUUAGAGUGUUCAAAGCAGGCUUGCGCUGUGAAUACAUUAGCAUGGAAUAAUGAGAUAGGACUUUGGUUCUAUUUUGUUGGUUUCUAGGACCGAACGUAAUGAUUGAUAGGGACAGUUGGGGGUGCUCGUAUUCAACGGCCAGAGGUGAAAUUCUUGGAUUCGUUGAAGACGAACUUAUGCGAAAGCAUUCACCAAGGAUGUCUUCUUUAAUCAAGAACGAAAGUUGGGGGAUCGAAGACGAUCAGAUACCGUCGUAGUCUCGACCAUAAACUAUACCGACUAGGGAUGGGCGAACGUUGCUUUUAUUCGACUUCGUCCGCACCUCAUGAGAAAUCAAAGUCUUUGGGUUCAGGGGGGAGUAUGGUCGCAAGGCUGAAACUUAAAGGAAUUGACGGAAGGGCACCACCAGGAGUGGAGCCUGCGGCUUAAUUUGACCCAACACGGGAAAACUUACCAGGUCCAGACGUAGUGAGGAUUGACAGAUUGAAGAUCUUUCUUGAUUCUAUGGGUGGUGGUGCAUGGCCGUUCUUAGUUGGUGGAGUGAUUUGUCUGGUUAAUUCCGUUAACGAACGAGACCUCGACCUGCUAACUAGGUCGGCGAACACCUCGGUGUUCGACCGGCACUUCUUAGAGGGACUAUCGGUGUUCUAGCCGAUGGAAGUUCGAGGCAAUAACAGGUCUGUGAUGCCCUUAGAUGUUCUGGGCUGCACGCGCGCUACACUGAUGCAUGCAUCGAGCUCUUCCACCUUGGCCGAGAGGUCUGGGGAAUCUUGCAAUAUGCAUCGUGCUGGGGAUAGAUUAUUGCAAUUAUUAAUCUUCAACGAGGAAUUCCUAGUAAACGCAAGUCAUCAGCUUGCAUUGAUUACGUCCCUGCCCUUUGUACACACCGCCCGUCGCUACUACCGAUUGAAUGGCUUAGUGAGCCUCACGGAUCGCGGCAGUUGGUUUGCUUUCGAGCAUCCGACAGCUGGGAAAAGUGAUGCAAACUUGACCAUUUAGAGGAAGUAAAAGUCGUAACAAGGU
Molecule: ribosomal RNA, 1235 nt
Filed under: metagenome
Description: SSU rRNA
Rfam family: Eukaryotic small subunit ribosomal RNA
Source: RNAcentral